RNAcentral lists this ribosomal RNA (468 nucleotides) under uncultured bacterium. RNAcentral's name for it is "partial 16S ribosomal RNA". It matches the Rfam family "Bacterial small subunit ribosomal RNA", at positions 28 to 507 of the family's 1533-position model. The record is from RNAcentral.
GACGAACGCUGGCGGCGUGCUUAACACAUGCAAGUCGAACGGAAAGGCCCUGCUUUUGUGGGGUGCUCGAGUGGCGAACGGGUGAGUAACACGUGAGUAACCUGCCCUUGACUUUGGGAUAACUUCAGGAAACUGGGGCUAAUACCGGAUAGGAGCUCCUGCUGCAUGGUGGGGGUUGGAAAGUUUCGGCGGUUGGGGAUGGACUCGCGGCUUAUCAGCUUGUUGGUGGGGUAGUGGCUUACCAAGGCUUUGACGGGUAGCCGGCCUGAGAGGGUGACCGGCCACAUUGGGACUGAGAUACGGCCCAGACUCCUACGGGAGGCAGCAGUGGGGAAUAUGGCACAAUGGGCGGAAGCCUGAUGCAGCAACGCCGCGUGCGGGAUGACGGCCUUCGGGUUGUAAACCGAUUUCGCCUGUGACGAAGCGUGAGUGACGGUACUGGGUAAAGAAGCACCGGCUAACUACGUG